This 423-nucleotide ribosomal RNA is filed under the name Rhysida ikhalama. RNAcentral describes it as "Rhysida sp. 1 JJ-2019 partial 16S ribosomal RNA". It matches the Rfam family "Bacterial large subunit ribosomal RNA", at positions 1928 to 2580 of the family's 2925-position model. The record is from RNAcentral. Lineage: Eukaryota; Metazoa; Arthropoda; Chilopoda; Scolopendromorpha; Scolopendridae.
UGGCCGCGGUAUUUUGACCGUGCGAAGGUAGCAUAAUAAUUAGUCUAUUAAAUGUGGUCUGGAAUGAAAGGUUUGACAAGGAGUAGCUUUCUUAAUUUUAUUUUUGAAUUUAAAUUUUCAGUAAAAAUGCUGAAUUGUAUUAGGAGGACGAGAAGACCCUAUAGAGCUUUAUAUAUUUAUUAAUUUUAUUGGUAUUGUUGUUUAAUAAUUAUAUUUUGUUGGGGCGACGACGAAUAUUUAAACAUUCGUUAAUUUUAUCUUAUUUAAUAGGUUGUAUGAUCCAUUAAUAAUGAUUUAAGACUAAGUUACCUUAGGGAUAACAGCGUAAUUUUACUAUAGAGUUCUUAUCGAUAGUAAAGAUUGCGACCUCCAUGUUGGAUUAGAAUUCCUUCUGUGGCGUAGUAGUUCAGGAAGGUAGUCUGU